Homo sapiens (human) is the source of this 1469-nucleotide long non-coding RNA. Ensembl annotates it as MIR3667 host gene. Lineage: Eukaryota; Metazoa; Chordata; Mammalia; Primates; Hominidae. The record is from Ensembl.
CGUGUGCGGUCCCUCCCCCUCACGUUCUCUCUUCCUCUGCUCCGCCAUGAUGAGAAGCGCCUGCUUCCCCUUCCCCUUCCGCCAUGAUUGUGUUUCCUGAGACCUCCCAGCCACGCUUCCUGUACAGCCUGCAGAACUACGCUGUCAGAGAUGGAUUGGGGACAAUCCUGCGGGGAGGUGCUGAGGAGGGCAGCUACGACAACUGGCCCCACACCAGGAAAAGCUGGGGGCCGCUGAGCCCAGGCCACCAACGGGAGCUGUGGACCCAGCCUGACCCCUGGACCGAGGUGCUUUCAGGGCACAAGGGGGAUGCGGGAGCCUGUGGCUGCUGUUGCUUCUGCUCUCAGUUCAUAAACGCACGCUGUGCACAUCCCCUGUGCUUGGCAAGGGGCCUGGAUAGAAGGGCCAGUGAGGAGAUGCCCAUCCUCCAGGCACUGUGCCUCCUCCCAAAGGAAAAUCUCCAUGAUGCCAGCAGGCGUGUCCACAGAGGAAGGGGCGAAGAAAAUGUCGAAUGGACAGGCGACCUGCAUCCUGCCCAGCUCGGAAGAGGAGGACGUCCUGAGAUUUGCCACAGCCUGGAGGCGAUUGCGCUCGUGACAAAAGCCAGACACAGAAAGACAAAUACCACGUUCUAAUUUGUGCAUGGGAGCUAAAAUAGUUGAGUUCAUAGAGGCAGAGGGUGGGGAAGGGCUGGGCAGGGGGGAACUGGGGAGAGGUUGGUCGAAUGGCACCAAGGCUCACUUGGGAGGUGACAAGCUUGGGACAGCAGGGUGGCCGUGGUGAAGGAGAACGUGUUGGGUACAUGGAUUUGCUGUGACCUGACCUCAAGUGCUCUUGCCACAGAACCCAGGUGCUCCCUGCUGGAAAGCCACACGCGGCAGAGGAGAGCUGGCAGGAGGAAAAGCGGGUUCGAGUCAGCAGCCUUUGGAGACGGCAGACUGAGAGUGUCACAGAGACCAUCUCAAGUCUGCACGAAUUCCAGGCUCUUUUAUGUUAAGGGCAGGGGGACGGGGAGGGGGUUGGGAUCAAGAGGUGACAGGUGACCGCACACAUGUGGGUGCCAGCGAGGGUCCGAGGAGGCUGGCGAUGCCUUCGUCCUUGGUCAGGUCACGAGCACCUGUGAAUCCACAGCAGAACAGCUGUUCACAGCUUCCCCUUUCAUCCCGGAGUGAGUUUCAAAACCUGCAUCACGACUGCCUCUGUGUAUUUUCUCCGUCCUCUAGAAGAUCCUAGGCUCCGUGCAGGAAUGGGUGAAGGCCCCUUACACAAAAACAAAGUCAGGUCCUGAGUUCUUUUGCUGUUUCUUUGCUUUCUCCUGCAAAGUCACUCGAAAGGUGACUGGCGGAGGUGAGGCUGCGCUAAUUAGCUUGAUUGUGGUGACCCUUCCACAAAGCACGUGUAUGUCGGCAUAUUCACUGGGUCAUGCACCUCGAAUACAUAUUUUUACUUGUCAAAUACAUGAUAAUAAA